GACGACGCUGGCGGCGUGCCUAACACAUGCAAGUCGAACGGGAUCCAUGAGAGCUUGCUCUCGGAAGAUCUAGUGGCGAACGGGUGAGUAACACGUGAGAAACCUGCCCUGGAGUGGGGAAUAACUCGGGGAAACCCGAGCUAAUACCGCAUACCCUUGGAUGAUCGCAUGGUCGACCAAGGAAAGAUUUAUCGCUCUAGGAGGGUCUCGCGGCCUAUCAGCUAGUUGGUGGGGUAAUGGCCUACCAAGGCAACGACGGGUAGCUGGUUUGAGAGAACGAUCAGCCACACUGGGACUGAGACACGGCCCAGACUCCUACGGGAGGCAGCAGUGGGGAAUCUUGCGCAAUGGGCGAAAGCCUGACGCAGCAACGCCGCGUGCGGGAUGACGGCCUUCGUGGUUGUAAACCGCUUUCAGCAGGGACGAAAAUGACGGUACCUGCAGAAGAAGCCCCGGCUAACUACGUG
RNAcentral lists this ribosomal RNA (467 nucleotides) under uncultured bacterium. Its description in RNAcentral is "bacterial SSU rRNA". It matches the Rfam family "Bacterial small subunit ribosomal RNA", at positions 33 to 507 of the family's 1533-position model. The record is from RNAcentral.